CAGAAAUAUAAUAUAAUAAAUAUAAUAAUAUAAUAAAUAAAUAUAAUAAAUAUAAUCAAACAAUUAUCCUAACUCUAAAAUAUUUAUUUACAUUAUUUACAUUGUACAGGGAUGGUCACGGUUGGUCUUCAAAAAUAAUUGUUUGGGGCCUAAUUUGUUGCUGGAGCAAAUGAAUUUGGAGCCGUAAUUUAAUUUGUUCUAAUUGGAUUUUUUUGGUCUCUGCCUCUAAUUUAAUGGUCUCCUUCUCCACCCGGACAAUUUCCUUCUCCAUGAGGACCUGUUGAAGGUCCUCACUUCUCCUCCGCUUCGUUGCCGGGGGUGGGGAUGGACAGGAAGGGGUUGCCACUGCUGGUUCUAUCGGUGGUGGUGGUGUUGAGCUGGUAGUGGCACUUUCCAAGUCUGAAACAAAAUGUGAAUUUAUUAAUUCUGGGCAAUAAGGCUAGUCCUGCUUAUUCAACUAACAAACCAUCCUCAAUAAAUAUGCUAGGCUACAUACCUUCUUCCAACUGCUCCGGCGGUUGAGGACAUCCGCUGUCCACCCCGUCCAACCCGACGAAGGCCGGUGAAUCCUCCCCGAAAAUAGCGACGAUAAUGUCACUAUAGGGUGAUCUUUUCGGGGGAGGACCACCACCAGUGGGAUGGUGCUUUAGAGAAGAGACGUCCUUCUUGGCCCGGGACAGGAGGUCUUUCCAUUUCUUUUUGAUGUCACCAUCCGUCCGAUGACAGCCUGAGUCUGAACAGCUGUUCAGACUCUCCAUUAUAAAUUUCCAUGUCUCUUGCUUACUUUUGUUUGUUACGACAUUGGACUGCUUGGCAGUCAGUGCCGUCUUAUUCUCACUGUAUAAUUGUAUUAAUUUUCUAAUUUCAACGUCGGUGAAGUUAACUUUUCUCUCUCUGUUUUCCUCCAUCAUGUCGGUUUGUCGGAUUUGUCGGUUUGUCGGAUGUUGGUAAAAUAGUAAACAGCUGUUGUCACGAGGUAUCCUAGCAACGCGGUGAUAUGCGCAUCACAUGGAACAUUCACAUGGCCGCGCAUGGCUAAGACCGGGCGUAGUUGAGACCAGUCGUAAGUCCCGUUGGUGCAACCGGCGUUAGUUCCAUUCUAACGCCAGGUCGUAACUAAGACCUACUUAGCAGUUACGACCAGGCUUAGUUACGGCCAGUUGGUGCAACCGGCCCCAGGGGUCUUCAAUUAAAAUUUAACAAGGUCCAGUUACUAAAAAUUCCUUCCAAGAAAGGUCCGAACCUACCACAUCCUAAUAGCCUUCUUUUGUCAAAUACAUUAUUACAAUACAUAUUACCUUAUAUUUUCAGAUGUAUUUAUUUUCAAUUUCCAAAUAGCUUACUUUUAACCAUGAAAAACAAGUAAGUCAAAGUAACGCAUAUUAACAUUUAAAGUAAACAAAACAGGUACAUUAGGCCUGCAAUUCAAGUAAACAUAAAAAGUGCAUAAGGCCUACAUGUGAAGUAAGCAGAACAGGAACACUAGGCCUACACUUCAAAUAAACACCAAAUGCAUUAGGCCUACAUUUCAAGUAAGCAAAACAGUGUCUCAAGUGGUGUUAGACCCAACAGGUCCUCACAGAUCUUUCUUGUCUUGAUGAAACAAUCGCACAUAAACCAAAAGCUGGGCAUUAUCCGUUACAUCUGAAGACUCAUCAAUGGCUAAGGAUGG
Long non-coding RNA from Gadus chalcogrammus (walleye pollock), 1672 nucleotides. RefSeq lists it as uncharacterized. Lineage: Eukaryota; Metazoa; Chordata; Actinopteri; Gadiformes; Gadidae. The transcript is spliced from 2 exons. The record is from RefSeq and is a predicted model, not a curated record.